Molecule: ribosomal RNA, 253 nt
Filed under: uncultured bacterium
Lineage: Bacteria
Description: partial 16S ribosomal RNA
Rfam family: Bacterial small subunit ribosomal RNA
Source: RNAcentral
UACGUAGGGGGCUAGCGUUGUCCGGAAUCAUUGGGCGUAAAGCGCGUGUAGGCGGUCCGGUAAGUCCGCUGUGAAAGUCGGGGGCUCAACCCUCGGAUGCCGGUGGAUACUGUCGGGCUUGAGUACGGAAGAGGCGAGUGGAAUUCCUGGUGUAGCGGUGAAAUGCGCAGAUAUCAGGAGGAACACCAAUGGCGAAGGCAGCUCGCUGGGACGGUACUGACGCUAAGGCGCGAAAGCGUGGGGAGCAAACAGG